Non-coding RNA from Taeniopygia guttata (zebra finch), 1406 nucleotides. The record is from RefSeq and is a predicted model, not a curated record. Lineage: Eukaryota; Metazoa; Chordata; Aves; Passeriformes; Estrildidae.
CCGGGCAGCGCCCCCCGCAGCACCGGCAGAGCCCGGGAGCGACCCGCGUCCGGCCGCGGCACCAGCUACGGGCCCCAGCAGAGCAUCGGCCCCGCUCCCGGAGCGCGGCGGCAGCGGGCAGUGCUGCCCGUCCGCCCCAGCCCCGCCGCGGGAGGCUCGGCAGGGAACGAGCGGCGCCAGCCCGAGAGGAUGCUGCUUAGCGGCUUUUCCAAGCAGUCCUUCCCUGUCAGAAAGGAGCCCGCGCGAGGUACUUGGGAGGAGGAAAAGCCAGCAGCCACAUCUCCUCCUGGGUCAGUCCAUCACGCAUCAAUCCAGCAAGGCAGAGACAGGGAAAGUGGCAUCUCCAGAAUGAUGCUCCCUACCAAUCCACCCGGCCACGGGAGCACUGGAGAGUUUCAUCUAGAGUCCAGCACUGAGCUACAGCAGGAAGGGUAAAGUUGGAGCAGAUAAGAACAAGCCCACACUAACUUCUUGGGAGUAGAAGAACAGUCACUUCCCCACCCCAAAUCGGUAAAUCACAGGGAGGGCAGGAGGUGUGUCCUACACUGCUCAGAGACAGCCAGGCCUGGAGGUCCCUGCCUGCCUGACCCCCCAGAUGCUCCAUGCUAUAGAAACUCAGAUAGAACCCAGCUUUGGCAGAUUCUCCAGUAAAGAUCCUGAAUGUUCAGAUUAGACUGGGCUCUCCCCCAGUCCAAUCAGUGUAAAAAGGAAAGCAGCACGCGCUGGAGCACAAGAUUUUAAGGAUAAGCAUGAAUCCCUUUCAUCCUUUCUGACAGAGGCUGACAUGGGCAAAAUAAUGAGCUCUCACCCUUCCUAUGUGAGCACUACAAGGUGAGAACUGAUUUUCAAGCCACAUGGAUCAGCUCAUCACACACACUAGAAGAGUACCUGGCAGCAGCAUGGGAUUUCUGCACCCCUUCCUUCCUCACUGUGCAAUCUGUUUACACAUUUCCUGGUUCAGCAACCACAUCUCAUCAUGUACCAGUCCAUCAAUCCACCAAGUCAGCAACAGGGAAAGCGGCAUCUCCAGAGCAAUGCAUCCUCUCGUGUCCUUCCUAACCAUGGGAGUGACAAAGUGUUUCACCUACAGCCGGGAAUGCCAACCAAGCUUUGGGCUACAGGAGGGCAGAUGAAGUUAGAGCUGGACAGCUACUCAUCCAGCACAAACUCAGGCUUUUGGUUUCCAGUGUUGUGAUACCUCAGCAGAGUACCGGUUCCCCUGCACACUGGGAAGGAAGGGGAAGUGGGGGAAGGCUCUCACUUGCAACAGCUUCACCUCCAGCACUCUGCUUCCACUGAGAGCAAAUGUGGGGAAAGACUUCGAGCAAUUAAGUCAUAGAGUGACUUCACCCAGCAAAGACCACAGUCUGGAGAUAUUACCUUCUGAAUAAAAUAUUAAUAAAAUA